RNAcentral lists this long non-coding RNA (1115 nucleotides) under Triticum aestivum (bread wheat). RNAcentral's name for it is "long non-coding RNA (TAES_LNC005598)". Lineage: Eukaryota; Viridiplantae; Streptophyta; Magnoliopsida; Poales; Poaceae. The record is from RNAcentral.
AGAAAAGGUUAGAAAAAUAUACAAAAACCAGUUUAAUACAUGUUUUUUUGGCUGGACAAACUUUGUGCAUUAAAAAAAUAACUCGGUUUGAGUAAAAUAUGCUACUGUACAUACAUACACAUGUCCAUUACACUUUGGUAAAAUGAUUAGAUGCUACCACCAAUGGACAAUUUGAAACCCUAUGUUUUCUCUUCACCACACAUCCUCUCCCCAUCUUCUCGAGUGGUACGGUGUCCGCUCAACUUGGCACCGUAAAUGAACAAAGUAUAAAAUUUGUCUCUGCUGCAGUUAGAUGAACAAACGAUUAGAGUUGGCUCCAAAUGACCAUGUUCUGAUUGGUAUGGUUCACUCUGGUUUGGUUCUGACCCUUGGUACUUUUCUCUGCUAUUGUAACACAGGAACAGGAGCGCAGAGACAAACUUGUAUUAUUAUGGUUCCACAACAAGGGGGAACCCAUCCAGCAUUACUACAAGGCAAUAGUAGAACAAGGAUUAUUUACCAACAAUCGCGGCAACACAGCAGGGAAGUUGAAGAACCGCUGCUAGCUCCGAACCGAGGAGUCGAGGAUAUCACCACACAGGACUAGAUAGUGGAGUGCAAGUGAAUCAACCUUUCUCUUCAAAAAAUUAACAAUCCAAACUUCAGAAAAUCAACAAACUAAACUUCGGAAAGCAAAACAAAUUGAACUUCACAGGGCCCUGCAAAAUAUACACGGUUAUAGUCCAAUUUAAAAACUUCAAAAAAUCAACAAACUGAACUUCUAGAGGGCCAGAUGCUGACCUUUCUAUUCGCAACGUUGUUGCUGACCCGUAAUUGAAGGUAGAGGAUGACGGCCAGCACCUGGACGGGUUCUAGCGGCCGGUGUAGGCCAUCGAUGGAGGAGGGGCGAGCUAAUCUUUCUAAAAAAAACAAGGACAACAACAUCAACUAAUCUCUCUCACACACUCAAGCUGAACUACAGCAGCACCAUCGAGAGCAAAAUGAGUAGGUGAGAACUCAUCUAUAUGCACACAUGAGUAUAUUCUUUGAUGUACCUGAAUGUUCGCAGCUGUUUUACAUGAACUUCUUGUGUUAUGCUGGACAGAGCACUGAGCAUGAGAGGGUGUCUUCGUGCU